GCUUUCCUGUAGCUCAGUUGCGACGGCAUUGUGCUAUCAACACAAAGGUUGUGGGUUCAAGUGCCAGGGAAAGCA
Danionella cerebrum is the source of this 75-nucleotide non-coding RNA. The record is from the annotation of a GenBank genome assembly. NCBI's taxonomy places the organism in Eukaryota, Metazoa, Chordata, Actinopteri, Cypriniformes, Danionidae.